CAUAUCGACUUAAGGGUGCACUUACAAUGUAUAAUAUAAGUGACGUACAUGCAAAUAUGCGUUCAAGGGCAUGAAAAGAAAUGUACAGAUUUGAAACCGUUCAGCAUAUCGCCCAAUCAUGCGAUCUAUAAGAUAUAUAUUUUAAUGAACCGUAAUUUAUAACUAACAUCAAGGUUUGUCAUUAUUACCAUUUCUGACAUGACUGCUCUAAAUAACCGUGAAACGAGAUCUUGCAUGGAGGAAGAACGGAAACGAAGGAAUUCUUGUUAGUUAGAUGGGCUUUUUAUGAAUGAACGUUCAAUGAGGAGAUUUGGUUUGUUGUCCCUUGCUUCUGAAGUGAUACUCGGAUGAUUGUACAGGCCUUGAAAUAUCAAUUUUAUCGAAUAAAACGAGCAGUGUGAACUCUUUGGUGUUCAUCAAGACGAAUAAAACGAGCAGUGUGAACUCUUUGGUGUUCAUCAAGACCAACCUGUGUUUUUUUGCCAUAUGUCUCUAAUUCUAUAUAAGCUCUCAAGGUUGUUCGAUUUUGUUAUAUGUACACCGAUUUCAUUUGAAACAAAAAAUUAUAUCUUUAAACCGACAGGCUUGAUAA
Long non-coding RNA from Xenia sp. Carnegie-2017, 592 nucleotides. RefSeq lists it as uncharacterized. The transcript is spliced from 2 exons. The record is from RefSeq and is a predicted model, not a curated record. NCBI's taxonomy places the organism in Eukaryota, Metazoa, Cnidaria, Anthozoa, Malacalcyonacea, Xeniidae.